RNAcentral lists this ribosomal RNA (403 nucleotides) under uncultured bacterium. RNAcentral describes it as "bacterial SSU rRNA". It matches the Rfam family "Bacterial small subunit ribosomal RNA", at positions 355 to 775 of the family's 1533-position model. The record is from RNAcentral.
UAGGGAAUAUUGGUAAUGGGCGAAAGCCUGAACCAGCAACGCCGCGUGUGCGAUGAAGGCCUUCGGGUUGUAAAGCACUUUUGACCGGGACGAGGAAGGACGGUACCGGUGGAAUAAGCCUCGGCUAACUACGUGCCAGCAGCCGCGGUAAAACGUAGGAGGCGAGCGUUAUCCGGAUCUACUGGGUGUAAAGCGCGAGCAGGCGGUUAGCUAAGUUGGGUGUGAAAGCUCCUGGCUCAACUGGGAGAUGUCGCUCAAGACUGGCUGACUCAAAGAUGGUAGGAGAAGGUGGAAUUCCGGGUGUAGUGGUGAAAUGCGUAGAUAUCCGGAGGAACACCAGUGGCGAAGGCGGCCUUCUGGACCAUCACUGACGCUCAGACGCGAAAGCUAGGGCAGCAAACGG